GACGAACGCGGCGGCGCGCCUAAUACAUGCAAGUCGAACGCUUCUUUUUCACCGAACUUCGGUUCAUCGAAAAAGAGGAGUGGCGAACGGGUGAGUAACACGUGGGUAACCUGCCCAUCAGAAGGGGAUAACACUUGGAAACAGGUGCUAACACCGUAUAAUGCUUUUUCUCGCAUGAGAGCAAGCUGAAAGGCGCUUUGCGUCACUGAUGGAUGGACCCGCGGUGCAUUAGCUAGUUGGUGAGGUAACGGCUCACCAAGGCCACGAUGCAUAGCCGACCUGAGAGGGUGAUCGGCCACACUGGGACUGAGACACGGCCCAGACUCCUACGGGAGGCAGCAGUAGGGAAUCUUCGGCAAUGGACGAAAGUCUGACCGAGCAACGCCGCGUGAGUGAAGAAGGUUUUCGGAUCGUAAAACUCUGUUGUUAGAGAAGAACAAGGAUGAGAGUAAAAUGUUCAUCCCUUGA
RNAcentral lists this ribosomal RNA (468 nucleotides) under Enterococcus sp. oral taxon A43. Its description in RNAcentral is "bacterial SSU rRNA". It matches the Rfam family "Bacterial small subunit ribosomal RNA", at positions 28 to 472 of the family's 1533-position model. The record is from RNAcentral. Lineage: Bacteria; Bacillati; Bacillota; Bacilli; Lactobacillales; Enterococcaceae.